Mirounga angustirostris (Northern elephant seal) is the source of this 4142-nucleotide long non-coding RNA. RefSeq lists it as uncharacterized. The transcript is spliced from 2 exons. NCBI's taxonomy places the organism in Eukaryota, Metazoa, Chordata, Mammalia, Carnivora, Phocidae. The record is from RefSeq and is a predicted model, not a curated record.
GAUGCAGGGCUUGAUCCCAGGACCCUGGGAUCAUGACCUGAGCCAAAGGCAGGUGCUUAACAACUGAGCCACCCAGGUGCCCCACAAGUUUUGUUUUUUAAAUCAGAUAUAUAUUUUGCAAACAUUUUCUCCCAGUCUGUGGUUUAUAUUUCCAUUCUCUUAACGGUGUCUCUCAUACAGCAGAAGUCUUUAAUUUUAGGGGCGCCUGGGUGGCUCAGUCGUUGGGCGUCUGUCUUCCGCUCGGGUCACCAUCCCAGGGUCCUGGGAUCCAACCCCGCAUCCAGCUCCCUGCUCGGCGGGAAGCCUGCUUCUCCCUCUUCGGCUCCCCCUGUUUGUUUUCCUGCUCUUGCUAUCUCUCUCUCUGUCAGGUGAAUAAAUAAAAUCUUAAAAAAAAAAAAAAGAAGUCUUUAAAAAAAAAAUUUAUUGUUAUGUUAAUCACCAUACAUUACAUCAUUCGUUUUUGAUGUAGUGUUCCAUGAUUCAUUGUUUGUGUAUAACACCCAGUGCUCCAUGCAGAAUGUGCCCUCUUUAAUACCCAUCACCAGGCUAACCCAUCCUCCCACCCCCCUCCCCUCUAGAACCCUCAGUUUGUUUUUUUAAAAAAAGAAGUCUUUAAUUUUAAUGAAGUCCAUCAAUUUUUUUUCUUUUUAAAAAAAUUUUUUAAAGUUUAUUUAUUUGUGGGGCGCCUGGGUGGCUCAGUCGUUAAGCGUCUGCCUUUGGCUCGGUCCUGGGAUCGAGCCCUGCCUUGGGCUCCCUGCUCCGUGGGAAGCCUGCUUCUCCCUCUCCCACUCCCCCUGCUUGUGUUCCCUCUCUUGCUGUGUCUCUUUCUGUCAAAUAAAUAAAAAUCUUUGGGGCGCCUGGGUGGCUCAGUUGGUUAAACGACGCCUUCGGCUCAGGUCAUGAUCCUGGAGUCCCAGGAUCGAGUCCCACAUCGGGCUCCCUGCUCAGCGGGGAGUCUGCUUCUCCCUCUGAUGCUCCCCCCUCUCAUGCUCUGUCUCUCUCUCUCUCAUUCUCUCUCUCAAAUAAAUAAAUAAAAUCUUUAAAAAUAAAUAAAUAAAUAAAUAAAUAAAUAAAUAAAUAAAUAAAUAAAUAAAAAUCUUUAACAAUUAAAAAAAAUUUAUUUAUUUGUGGGGCGCCUGCGUGGCUCAGUCAUUAAGUGUCUGCCUUAGGCUCAGGUCAUGAUCCCAGUGACCUGGGAUUGAGCCCCACAUCGGGCUCCCUGCUCAGUAGGAAGCCUGCUUUUCCCUCUCCCACUCUCCCUGCUGUGUUCCUUCUCUCACCGUCUCUCUGUCAAAUAAAUAAAUAAAAUCUUUAAAAAUAUAUUUAUUUAUUUGUCAGAGAGAGAGCACACAAGCAGGGGGAGCAGCAGGCAGAGGGAGAAGCAGGCUCCCUGCUGAGCAAGAAGACCCAUGUGUGACUCCAUCCCAGAAUCCUGGGACUAUGACGUGAGCUGAAGGCAGAUGCUUAACUGACUGAGCGACCCAGGCAGCCCAUCAAUUGUUUUUUUUCUUAAAUUGUGCUUUUGGUGUUCUAUCUAAAAUGUGAUCACCAAACCGAGGGUUUCCUAGAUUUUACUAUGUUAUUGUCUAGAAGUUCUAUAAUUUUGCAUUUUACAUUUAGAUCUAUUGAUUCAUUCUGAGAAUUAAUUUUUGUGAGAGGUGUAAGGUCUGCAUCUAUAUUCUUUUUGUUUGUUUGUUUACAUUUGGGUGUCUAGUUGCUCCAGAUGGACAUUGCUGCAAAGAUCCUCAGCUCCAUUGAAUUGCCUUUGUUCCCUUAUCAAAGAUCAGUUGACUAUAUUAGUGUGGGUCUAUUUCUAAGCUUUCUGUUCUGUUCCACUGAUUUAUUUUUCUAUUCUUCAGACAAUGCCAUGCUGUCUUGAACACUGUAGCUUUAUAUGGAAAAUUUGCUUACCACAGAGUGGCUAUUGCAAUUGCUGCAAUACAGUCAAUUGGAAUUAGAAUCUUCCAUGAAUUUGAAGAUAUGAUGGAAAAGAAGCAACACAAGCAAAGUCUAUCUUUAACAGAAAUCUAAAAUGAGGAACUUGAGAUGCAAAAACCUCUUUCAUUCCUCUUCUUCUGAUAGACAAAAGUUUUUUAAAGUCAUCUUUGUAAAAAGUCUUUAGAUCUACAAUGAUUUGUUGUAAGUAUAUAACAUGAUUGGGUUCUUUAUCUUCUUCUGCUAUUGAUAUGGUAAUUAUUUCAGGUAAUAGAUGUAACCUUCAAGAUUUCAUGAAGUGGGGUGCCUGUGUGGCUCAGUUGAGCAUCUGACUCUUGGUUUCGGCUCAGGUCUGAUCUCGGGGUUGUGGGAUUGGGCCCUGCUUCUGACUCCAUGCUCAGUGUGGAGUCUGCUUGUCCCUCCCCUCUGCUCCUCCUGCUUGGACUCAUUCUCUCUGUCUCUGCUUCUGUCUCUGUCUGUCUGUCUCUCUUAAAUAAAUAAAUAAAUAAAUAAAUAAAUAAAUAAAUAAAUAAAUAAAUAAAUAAAAUCUAAAAAGAUAUUUCAUUAAGUAACGUCUGACAAUUCACCCUGCCACUUGAAGAAGAAAAAUCAGAUACUUAAGGAUGUGAGCAAGAAUGACAGCAGUCUGUUAUCAGGCUUGGCACUCCAAAGCUGAGUAGAAUCCAUGUGAUUGAUCACUACAUACACACUGAAGGAGUUGGCCAAAUAGUUUUUUGGGAAGAAAACAUUCUAGGUGGGGGAAAAUCUAGAGCAAAACUCAUAAGGAAGAUAGGUUUUUGGUUUGUUCAAGGAAUAGCACAAAGAUUGAUGUGGUUUGAGCAGAGAAAGGAUGAUCAGUAGUGCAGUCGGAGAUAAGGUCAGGAUGGUAAUGGGAGAACCAGACAAUUUGGACUUUGUUACAGUAAGGCUUUGCCUUGUAUUCUGAGUGAAAUGGGAACCUAGGAUUUCUCUUUUCAGAACUGGAGUGAUAUAGCUAAAGUCAGCCUGGCUGCCAUGUUGAAAAUAUAAUGCAGGGAGGAAAGGGUAAAAGCAGAAAGAUAAAAUAAGAGGCGAUUUCAGUAAUCCCAAUGAGAGGUUAUAAUGACUUUGGACAUGGUGGUAGUACUUGGGAAAAUAAAAUAGAUUCUUAGUAUUUUUUCAACUUUGAAAACUUCAAAUCUAUAGAAAACUUGUAAGAAUCAGACAAUGAACAUUCAUAUAUCCUUCACUUACAUUUACUAAUUGUUAACACUACAUUAUCUCUCUCUGUAUAUGGAGAUAUCUAUAUAUCUAUGUCUAUAUUUGGUUAUGUGUAUUUGAUAUGUAUACAUAUGUGAUAUAUAGAGAUAGAAAGAGAAAGGUAGAACAUUAAAUGAUUUUUAUAAUGUUACAUGAAUUUUACAAAUGUUAAGCCAUUUUACAGUCAGUUGAAGACAUCAUACUUCAUACUGCAAUACUUUAUGUAUCUAUUUCCUAAGAACAAAGACAUACUAUGAAGGUUAAUUUUUUGUGUCAAUUUGACUAGGCCAUAGAGUGCCCACAUAUUUGGUUAAACAUUAUUCUAGUAUGUCUGUGAGGGGGGUUUCUGAAUGAGAUUAACAUUUGAAUUGAUAGACUGAGAAAAACAGAUUUCUUUUGCCAUUGUGGGUGAGCUCAUCCAAUCUUAUGAUAUUCCAAUCUUAAAGAUAAUGCAUAUGAAAUUUCUAUAUCAAAUGUAAUUUAUGCUGUAGUUUCUAAUAUAUAAUUUUUCAAAGAAAAUAAAUUUUCCUAAGACUUAUUUUUAAUCAGAAUUAUGUAUUUAACUUUACUGAAUACUGUAGUGGGUUGAACAUUGGCCCCUCAAAAGAUAUGUCCAUGUCCUAAUACCUGUGCCCUCUGAAUGUUACCUUAUUUUGAAAAAAGACUCUGCAGAUGUAAUUAAAUUAAUCACCUUAGACUAUCCUAGAUUACAUAGGUGGACUCGAAAUUCAAUAGCAAAUGUCCUUAUAAGACAGAAGAAAAAACAGAGAAGAGGAGAGAGCCAUAUAAAGGUCAAGGGAGAGACUGGAGCAGAUACAGCCACAAGGAAUGCCAACAGCCACCAGGAGCUGGAAGAGGUAAGUAUAGAUUCUCCCUUAGAGCCUUCGGAGAAAGUGAAACAUUGCUGACACCUUGAUAUCACAAUCUGUCCUCUAGAACUGUGAGAUAAUUAAUUUCUGUUGUUUAAA